UCCGCAAGCUGCAAUCUGAGCUAAAUCAAGAUUACAAAUUGGACUACACAAUAAAAUCGCGAUUGCUAUCAACGAAAAGUUCGAUCAAAGAACACAAUUUGAUCACAGCGAAAGGACAGAAAACCGGGAAGGUGAUACAUCUCCGCGGUGUCGGCGUUCUGGAAGAUGGAUUCAAAGUAAGAGAACUGGAGAGCGGAGUCCGCGCCCUCCCUUCUCUGAGUUUCUCCAUUGUCGAUCUGCCUCCUUUCUGCGAACCUAGGGUUUGAGAGAGGAAGGAAUGGGCGGCCACUGAGGAGGCGGAGAAGGGAUGUCCACCGUCCGUCGGCCUAUUGAUUCGUGGAGAGCUUCCAUGGCCGCCGGCGAGAAGAGGGAUCGCCGGAG
This 381-nucleotide long non-coding RNA is filed under the name Elaeis guineensis (African oil palm). RNAcentral describes it as "long non-coding RNA (EGUI_LNC068646)". The record is from RNAcentral. Lineage: Eukaryota; Viridiplantae; Streptophyta; Magnoliopsida; Arecales; Arecaceae.